Molecule: ribosomal RNA, 468 nt
Filed under: uncultured bacterium
Lineage: Bacteria
Description: partial 16S ribosomal RNA
Rfam family: Bacterial small subunit ribosomal RNA
Source: RNAcentral
GACGAACGCUGGCGGCGUGCUUAACACAUGCAAGUCGAACGGAAAGGCCCUGCUUUUGUGGGGUUCUCGAGUGGCGAACGGGUGAGUAUCACGUGAGUAACCUGCCCUUGACUUUGGGAUAACUUCACGAAACUGGGGCUAAUACCGGAUAGGAUCUCCCGCUGCAUGGUGGGCGUUGGAACGUUUCGGCGGUUGGGGAUGGACUCGCGGCUUAUCAGCUUGUUGGUGGGGUAGUGGCUUACCAAGGCUUUGACGGGUAGCCGGCCUGAGAGGGUGACCGGCCACAUUGGGACUGAGAUACGGCCCAGACGCCUACGGGAGGCAGCAGUGGGGAAUAUUGCACAAUGGGCGGAGGCCUGAUGCAGCAACGCCGCGUGCGGGAUGACGGCCUUCGGGUUGUAAACCGCUUUCGCCUGUGACGAAGCGUGAGUGACGGUAAUGGGUAAAGAAGCACCGGCUAACUACGUG